This 85-nucleotide transfer RNA is filed under the name Mesorhizobium sp. M7A.F.Ca.CA.001.07.2.1. RNAcentral's name for it is "tRNA-Leu". It matches the Rfam family "tRNA". From Rfam's summary of the family: Transfer RNA (tRNA) molecules are approximately 80 nucleotides in length. Their secondary structure includes four short double-helical elements and three loops (D, anti-codon, and T loops). The record is from RNAcentral. Lineage: Bacteria; Pseudomonadati; Pseudomonadota; Alphaproteobacteria; Hyphomicrobiales; Phyllobacteriaceae.
GCGGAUGUGGCGGAACUUGUAGACGCCCUGGAUUUAGGUUCCAGUGCCGAAAGGCGUGGGGGUUCGAGUCCCUUCAUCCGCACCA